RNAcentral lists this ribosomal RNA (460 nucleotides) under uncultured bacterium. Its description in RNAcentral is "partial 16S ribosomal RNA". It matches the Rfam family "Bacterial small subunit ribosomal RNA", at positions 338 to 795 of the family's 1533-position model. The record is from RNAcentral.
CCUACGGGAGGCAGCAGUGAGGAAUAUUGGUCAAUGGCCGGAAGGCUGAACCAGCCAUGCCGCGUGAAGGUCAGUGCCCUAUGGGCGUUAAACUUCUUUUGUGCGGGAGCAAUAAUGGUCACGUGUGGCCAGACGAGAGUACCGUACGAAUAAGCAUCGGCUAACUCCGUGCCAGCAGCCGCGGUAAUACGGGGGAUGCAAGCGUUAUCCGGAUUUAUUGGGUUUAAAGGGUGCGUAGGCUGUGAGGUAAGUCAGCGGUGAAAUGCCCACGCGCAACGGGGUGAAGUGCCAUUGAUACUGCCUGGCUGGAAUGCGGAUGCCGUGGGAGGAAUGUGUGGUGUAGCGGUGAAAUGCAUAGAUAUCACACAGAACACCGAUUGCGAAGGCAUCUCACGAAUCCGCGAUUGACGCUGAUGCACGAAAGCGUGGGUAUCAAACAGGAUUAGAUACCCGAGUAGUC